GACGAACGCUGGCGGCGUGCUUAACACAUGCAAGUCGAACGGAAAGGCCCUGCUUUUGUGGGGUGCUCGAGUGGCGAACGGGUGAGUAACACGUGAGUAACCUGCCCUUGACUUUGGGAUAACUUCAGGAAACUGGGGCUAAUACCGGAUAGGAGCUCCUGCUGCAUGGUGGGGUUGGAAAGUUUCGGCGGUUGGGGAUGGACUCGCGGCUUAUCAGCUUGUUGGUGGGGUAGUGGCUUACCAAGGCUUUGACGGGUAGCCGGCCUGAGAGGGUGACCGGCCACAUUGGGACUGAGAUACGGACCAGACUCCUACGGGAGGCAGCAGUGGGGAAUAUUGCACAAUGGGCGGAAGCCUGAUGCAGCAACGCCGCGUGCGAGAUGACGGCCUUCGGGUUGUAAACCGCUUUCGCCUGUGACGAAGCGUGAGUGACGGUAAUGGGUAAAGAAGCACCGGCUAACUACGUG
This 467-nucleotide ribosomal RNA is filed under the name uncultured bacterium. RNAcentral's name for it is "partial 16S ribosomal RNA". It matches the Rfam family "Bacterial small subunit ribosomal RNA", at positions 28 to 507 of the family's 1533-position model. The record is from RNAcentral.